This is a small nuclear RNA of Pteropus vampyrus (large flying fox), 106 nucleotides long. The record is from Ensembl. NCBI's taxonomy places the organism in Eukaryota, Metazoa, Chordata, Mammalia, Chiroptera, Pteropodidae.
GUGCCCUCUCCUGCAGCAAAUAUACUAAAAUUAGAACAAUUCAGAGACAUGAGCAUGGCUCUUGUACAAAGAUGACACACAAAUUUGUAAAGUGUUCCAUAUUUAU